GACGAACGCUGGCGGCGUGCCUAACACAUGCAAGUCGAACGGAGCUAUUAUGGAAGUACCUUCGGGUGCGGAAGUUUUAGCUUAGUGGCGAACGGGUGAGUAACGCGUGAGCAACCUGCCUCUCAGUGGGGGACAACAGUUGGAAACGACUGCUAAUACCGCAUAAAGCAUCGAGACCGCAUGAUCAUGAUGCCAAAGAUUUAUUGCUGAGAGAUGGGCUCGCGUCUGAUUAGAUAGUUGGUGGGUAACGGCCUACCAAGUCGACGAUCAGUAGCCGGACUGAGAGGUUGAACGGCCACAUUGGGACUGAGAUACGGCCCAG
RNAcentral lists this ribosomal RNA (322 nucleotides) under uncultured bacterium. RNAcentral describes it as "bacterial SSU rRNA". It matches the Rfam family "Bacterial small subunit ribosomal RNA", at positions 28 to 334 of the family's 1533-position model. The record is from RNAcentral.